Molecule: ribosomal RNA, 233 nt
Filed under: uncultured bacterium
Lineage: Bacteria
Description: partial 16S ribosomal RNA
Rfam family: Bacterial small subunit ribosomal RNA
Source: RNAcentral
AUUGAACGCUGGCGGCAGGCCUAACACAUGCAAGUCGAACGGUAGCACAGAGAGCUUGCUCUCGGGUGACGAGUGGCGGACGGGUGAGUAAUGUCUGGGAAACUGCCCGAUGGAGGGGGGUAACUACUGGAAACGGUAGCUAAUACCGCAUAACGUCGCAAGACCAAAGAGGGGGACCUUCGGGCCCGUUCGCCAUCGGAUGUGCCCACGAUGGGAUUAGCUUGUAGGUGAGG